ACAGAACGUCACAGAGGGUGAGAAUCCCGUGCGAUGAGAUGUCCCAGACCUAUGUAAAGUUCCUUCGAAGAGUCGAGUUGUUUGGGAAUGCAGCUCUAAGUGGGUGGUAAAUUCCAUCUAAAGCUAAAUAUUGGCGAGAGACCGAUACGCGAACAAGUACAGUGAUGGAAAGAUGAAAAGAACUUUGAAAAGAGAGUGAAAAAGUACGUGAAAUUGUUGAAAGGGAAGGGCUUGAGAUCAGACUUGGUAUUUUGUAUGUUACUCUCUCGGGGGUGGCCUCUACAGUUUACCGGGCCAGCAUCAGUUUGAGCGGUAGGAUAAGUGCAAAGAAAUGUGGCACUGCUUCGGUAGUGUGUUAUAGUCUUUGUCGAUACUGCCAGCUUAGACUGAGGACUGCGGCUUCGGCCUAGGAUGUUGGCAUAAUGAUCUUAAGUCGCCCGUCUUGAAACA
This 450-nucleotide ribosomal RNA is filed under the name Lodderomyces parapsilosis. RNAcentral's name for it is "LSU rRNA". It matches the Rfam family "Eukaryotic large subunit ribosomal RNA", at positions 195 to 661 of the family's 3401-position model. The record is from RNAcentral. Lineage: Eukaryota; Fungi; Ascomycota; Pichiomycetes; Serinales; Debaryomycetaceae.